RNAcentral lists this ribosomal RNA (253 nucleotides) under uncultured bacterium. Its description in RNAcentral is "partial 16S ribosomal RNA". It matches the Rfam family "Bacterial small subunit ribosomal RNA", at positions 524 to 776 of the family's 1533-position model. The record is from RNAcentral.
UACGGAGGGGGCAAGCGUUAUUCGGAAUCAUUGGGCGUAAAGGGCGCGUAGGCGGCCUGGCAAGUCAAAGGUGAAAUCCCUCGGCCCAACCGAGGAACCGCCUUUGAAACUGCAAGGCUCGAGGCCGGGAGAGGGUAGCGGAAUUCCCAGUGUAGCGGUGAAAUGCGUAGAUAUUGGGAGGAACACCAGUGGCGAAGGCGGCUACCUGGACCGGUUCUGACGCUGAGGCGCGAAAGCGUGGGGAGCAAACAGG